AUUUUAUCUAUUUCAGCCAGUGAUAUAAGAACAAAUGUCCUGUCUGUUUUUAUCAGUGUAAUUUAUGAUAUGUCCUCUCUCUAAGGAUGACACAUUAAGUGGAUUUUAGGAGGAGAGAAUUGAAAUAGCUGCUUUGUGUAGUACACAUAUUGAUCUGGUAUGUUACUAUCUUCAGUCACAGUGACCCUCAC
Small nuclear RNA from Onychomys torridus (southern grasshopper mouse), 191 nucleotides. RefSeq annotates it as U2 spliceosomal RNA. The transcript has a single exon. The record is from RefSeq and is a predicted model, not a curated record. NCBI's taxonomy places the organism in Eukaryota, Metazoa, Chordata, Mammalia, Rodentia, Cricetidae.